This 468-nucleotide ribosomal RNA is filed under the name uncultured bacterium. Its description in RNAcentral is "partial 16S ribosomal RNA". It matches the Rfam family "Bacterial small subunit ribosomal RNA", at positions 28 to 507 of the family's 1533-position model. The record is from RNAcentral.
GACGAACGCUGGCGGCGUGCUUAACACAUGCAAGUCGAACGGAAAGGCCCUGCUUUUGUGGGGUGCUCGAGUGGCGAACGGGUGAGUAACACGUGAGUAACCUGCCCUUGACUUUGGGAUAACUUCAGGAAACUGGGGCUAAUACCGGAUAGGAGCUCCUGCUGCAUGGUGGGGGUUGGAAAGUUUCGGCGGUUGGGGAUGGACUCGCGGCUUAUCAGCUUGUUGGUGGGGUAGUGGCUUACCAAGGCUUUGACGGGUAGCCGGCCUGAGAGGGUGACCGGCCACAUUGGGACUGAGGGACGGCCCAGACUCCUACGGGAGGCAGCAGUGGGGAAUAUUGCACAAUGGGCGGAAGCCUGAUGCAGCAACGCCGCGUGCGGGAUGACGGCCUUCGGGUUGUAAACCGCUUUCGCCUGUGACGAAGCGUGAGUGACGGUAAUGGAUAAAGAAGCACCGGCUAACUACGUG